This 253-nucleotide ribosomal RNA is filed under the name uncultured bacterium. Its description in RNAcentral is "partial 16S ribosomal RNA". It matches the Rfam family "Bacterial small subunit ribosomal RNA", at positions 524 to 776 of the family's 1533-position model. RNAcentral also lists the same sequence under 1 other name. The record is from RNAcentral.
UACGGAGGGAGCUAGCGUUGUUCGGAAUUACUGGGCGUAAAGCGUACGUAGGCGGUUAUUCAAGUCAGAGGUGAAAGCCCGGGGCUCAACCCCGGAACUGCCUUUGAAACUAGAUAGCUAGAAUCUUGGAGAGGUCAGUGGAAUUCCGAGUGUAGAGGUGAAAUUCGUAGAUAUUCGGAAGAACACCAGUGGCGAAGGCGACUGACUGGACAAGUAUUGACGCUGAGGUACGAAAGCGUGGGGAGCAAACAGG